This 451-nucleotide ribosomal RNA is filed under the name uncultured bacterium. RNAcentral's name for it is "bacterial SSU rRNA". It matches the Rfam family "Bacterial small subunit ribosomal RNA", at positions 29 to 524 of the family's 1533-position model. The record is from RNAcentral.
AACGAACGCUGGCGGCAGGCCUAACACAUGCAAGUCGAACGCCGUAGCAAUACGGAGUGGCAGACGGGUGAGUAACACGUGGGAACAUACCCUUCGGUUCGGAAUAACUCAGGGAAACUUGAGCUAAUACCGGAUACGUCCGCGAGGAGAAAGAUUCAUCGCCGGAGGAUUGGCCCGCGUCUGAUUAGCUUGUUGGUGAGGUAAUGGCUCACCAAGGCGACGAUCAGUAGCUGGUCUGAGAGGAUGAUCAGCCACAUUGGGACUGAGACACGGCCCAAACUCCUACGGGAGGCAGCAGUGGGGAAUAUUGGACAAUGGGCGCAAGCCUGAUCCAGCCAUGCCGCGUGAGUGAUGAAGGCCCUAGGGUUGUAAAGCUCUUUCACCCGCGACGAUGAUGACGGUAGCGGGAGAAGAAGCCCCCGGCUAACUUCGUGCCAGCAGCCGCCGUAAG